AACCAAAAAAGGCCUAAAUCUUUUCCCCCUACAGCCGCCUUCCCAAGCUCCUCAUCCCCUCCACUCCCUCGACAAUGGUGGCGGCGGCGCCCUCUGGCGGCGGAGGAGGAGGGGGGAGAUGGUGGCGGCGGCGCCCUCUGGUGGCGGAGGAGGAGGGGGGAGAUGGUGGCGCGGCGGCGACCUUCCCCUCACGCAUCCCAUCCCCCCUCGUCAUCCCGGAUCUCACCGGACCCGAGGCGUGCGGGCGCGGCAGCGACCUGCAAGGGAAGGGCGACGCUCGAAUCGAUCCAGCCAUGGAUCGGUCCCUGCGGGAGAAAGAGAAAAUGAGGACCUCCGUGCUCAACAGGAGGAGCCGGGGUUGCUGAUCCGGCCGGCCCAGAUCCACACGCCUCCUCCUUCGGCCACCUCGCCCCACCAGCUUCCAGCGACGUGGAUCCGCCGAGGAUGGAGGGCAGCAAGUGAGAGGGAGCAGGAGAAGAGGUGAAUCGAGGGAGUGAAAGAAGGAUCUCACAGGGGAAGAGGAAGAAGGAGUCUAGCGGUGUAUCCUCGUCUCAUCCCUGGCUGCACCUCUUCUGAUGCCAUGGCACCAGUGGUGGCUCCUCGAUGGAGCACCUCCUUCCAUGACGGCACCACCAGCGGCUCUUGCUCGACGCCACGAUACACAACAUCGAGGCCACCCCUGAUGCUCAGGCUGAUGCUUCUUCGCUUGAUGCUGAAGAAAAGGAUGAUCAGAUUCAGACGCCCAAGAACAACAGGAACUCCGGUGGUUCAAAGCGAGUUGGGCCAGGGAAGAAAUCAAAGCAGUGACUGUCCUGCACUAACUGUGCAAGGAUCAAAAGCAUAUAGGUGUAGCAAUAAAUUCCCCUCUUAUGCUCAAGUUAAAUUUCUUCACUGAAGAUAUGGUAGGAAGUUACGUUUUGAGUUUGAUUCUUUAAACUAUAGGCCAAUUUGCAUAUUAAUCUCUUUACUUAUUUUCUUACUACAGUAGCACACUUGCCUAAAUCCCACAUAAGACUGAAUGGUACUCUGCCAUGGUGUUUAAUCUCAGUAAUGUGUCUUGUUUUAUUUUGUCCGCGGUGACUGGGGAUGUGUUCUCGGCUUUGCCGACAGUAAAAAGAAGGCAUACAAAACAUUAAAUUUUUGCCUUGGCUGAAUGCCGCAUUUAAUUGUCGCUUAUGUAUUCCAAGUUAUUCAAUUCUCACUGAGCUUUCCUUUGCUAAAGAAAUUUAAUACGCAAUAUUUUUAAUAUGUGAGGAGGCGAGAGAAGAAAAGAGGGGUUGUUAGGUCAGACUUUGGUGCGUCUCUGGUCAGAAAUGGCUGGAUCCGUCCGACGCUCUUCCAAACAGUGUAGUGUAGAUUUGCUGACCAGUACAACAUCUAAACCUUCACUACUCUAGCUUCUUCUUACAUUUCUUAGUAUCAACAAAUAAGGUGGUCACAAUAUAUACUUGAAGAUUGCAUCCCGAGCCAGCUCGGGCCGCUGCUACCUCUUCCUCGCCGCCCAACAGGCCGCCGUGCUGGGGGAGCAGGGUAGCAUCGGGUCCACAGGCACUCUAAAGCCGAGUAAAAUCCUUGCAUUCGUAUUAUUCACUUUCAGUAUGCAAACUUCUCUUUCCAAGUUUGAGAGAACAAGAAGCCAGCGUCGAGGAAGCCUUGGGGUGUGAAAAGCAUAGUAACAAUAUAUCUGGGCUGCGACGUAUAUUGUUAUGAAACUUUACUGUAAUUACGAUUUCCUAUUAUAGCUCAUAUGAAGAAUUAUUUGCUGCUUUUACAUUUGCUUAUUUUAUUAACUUUUACUAGGAUAUGAGUAGCAUUACUCAAAAUUUUGCUUUGAGAAGAAUCUAAUGAUGUAUCCAAUUUCACAUCCAAGCUACUAUGAAUAUUAUGAUUGAGCGACUGCUUGGCGAUGUCAUCGUCAGAGGCUCAGGCCUCCUCCCUGGACAAGGCACUCGUGCUAGGCGGAGGCGAUCUGUGCGCCGGUUCAAGAGGCGGUAAGACGGUCGCAAGAAUGCCAAGCUCUUCAGCUGUGGCAUCAUGCAAUAAUGGAAUUGAGCAUUCUGGGCAAAACAUAAAGGACAACGAAUAUGCAAGGUUGGUGACACCAGCUGAACAUGCAACAGCUGACAAGAAAUUUUGCCUGAGCAACCAAAGUUAAGACACUUCAUUUGGUGAAUGAAAGUUUUGCUUGGAUGCUUCCAUCUUAUAUUAGCAUCUUAUAUCUUCGUGAAAUUUGGAGCCCCUUUGCCUUUGAAAAUUGGUACUCUCUCUGCUGUGGCUGCGUGUUCGACCGGCCAGCCAAGGAUCUCCAGCAAGCAUGUGCUCCUACUCUCCUUGCCCUUAAUUCCUGCCACAACAGCAGCUCCUGUGUAGUGUGAGCCAGAGAACUACUACACUAAUCAUGUUCCUGGCCUAGCAUGUGACAGUGGUGCCGCGAGGAUUUGCUGCCGUGGGAGGAGGGGCCCGACCCAGAUGGCGGCCACCAGUAGGUCACACACUUAUUCAGCUCGCCGUCUGGUUACUCUGAUGGCUUCUCUAAGGUAUCUUCUCGUGCAGCUUCACUCUUGUUUGUGUGUCUUGUGUGAAAAAGUAAGCUACCUGGCACUUGCUCUACUCUGCUUUAGCAGGCGCUCGCAGAGGAGGCCAAGGGAUACAUGAUACUGGUAAUUUACUAAUGAUCCAUCUUAGUGGAAUGCUUUUGUUGUAGAUAUUUUCAUUGGUUGUCCUUCCAUUUUAUUUAUAUUCAUGGCUGGAUGGUGCCUUCCACUAUGCUUCUUCACUGAAAAGGUGUUUCACAUAUGUGUACUUGCUUGAGAAUGGAAUAAUCUCAGAAUUCUGUUGAAAACAAAACUUAGUUAUUUCAGCAUGCAUAGUGUUUGGCUAUAGAGAUUGAGUGCUUCACAUAUCCGAUGCCAUCUCAGAAUAAUCUCAGACCUGUUUAAAUAACUUAGUGUUUGGCUAAGGAGUCCGCAUUGAACGCCACAUAUCCGAUGCCAACACACCGAGGUUAUACUCCAAUCAAACAUGUGAAUAUUUACUUCAAGAUCGAUCCGACGAAAGCCGUCCACUGCCGCUCUGCUGUUGGGACUAAUUUGGACGGGAAUGGUGAUUUCAUGGUGAUUAUGAUUACUUGGUUGUUGCUCUUGGAGUUACUGUGAAUACAUUCAACACUCCUGGUGUGAUGGGGCAUUGCCACUUUCUGAAGGUCAAAUCCUUAUUGGCAUUGUGUGUCUCUUUACUGUUCUGCUAUUUCUCAUGUUUCAAUCCUAAGAUGUCGUGGAGGAUGCCCGAAAGAUUCGGAAGAGCGUGGUAGACUGCUUUGAAAAGGGUCACCUCCUAACCUCAGUGAAGAGGAGAGAAGGAAGAUGUUCUGAGGAAUAUCAAGAUUAAGUCUCCGAUUCAUAUUUCGUCGACCAAUCCUUCACUUUGUGAUUAUCGGUGGUGGACCUACUGGGGUUGAAUUUGCGGUGGAGUUGCAUGAUUUUCUUGUCGAAGAUCUGGUGAAGCUAUAUCCUGCAAUUGAAGAAUUUGUGAAGAUAACAAUUAUGCAAUCAGGAGAACAUAUAAUGAGGGUUGAAUGUUCCUGCAGUAAUAACCUUAGUUUUGGGCAAGAUGAUCAAGGAGUAGCGAAACUUUAGCAGUCAUCUUUGGCUUCACCAUCUUCCUCCCCUGAUCUUGCAUCUAUUCUAGAUCAUAUAAUUAUGCUAUAUCAUAUAUAUUGUUUAGUUCAGACUUGUGCAUGUGCGUGCAUUGGCAUUGAUUUAUAGAGAUAUUGCAUGAUUUGUACAUAAAAGGAGUACGGAUGAUCUAAGAAUAAAUGUUCGAAUAAAGUUAGUAGUGAGAUUUAGGUAGAGGUUACCUGCACUGUUCUGUUUUAUGUAGAUUCUAAGCUGCAAAAUCAUACAUGGCCCUGUUAGUAGUUUGUCUGA
This is a long non-coding RNA of Triticum urartu, 3926 nucleotides long. RefSeq lists it as uncharacterized. Lineage: Eukaryota; Viridiplantae; Streptophyta; Magnoliopsida; Poales; Poaceae. The record is from RefSeq and is a predicted model, not a curated record.